This 253-nucleotide ribosomal RNA is filed under the name uncultured bacterium. RNAcentral's name for it is "partial 16S ribosomal RNA". It matches the Rfam family "Bacterial small subunit ribosomal RNA", at positions 524 to 776 of the family's 1533-position model. The record is from RNAcentral.
UACGGGGGGGGCAAGCGUUGUUCGGAAUUACUGGGUGUAAAGCGUGCGCAGGCGGUGAUGUAAGACAGGUGUGAAAUCCCCGGGCUUAACCUGGGAACUGCAUUUGUGACUGCAUCGCUGGAGUGCGGCAGAGGGGGAUGGAAUUCCGCGUGUAGCAGUGAAAUGCGUAGAUAUGCGGAGGAACACCGAUGGCGAAGGCAAUCCCCUGGGCCUGCACUGACGCUCAUGCACGAAAGCGUGGGGAGCAAACAGG